Nothobranchius furzeri (turquoise killifish) is the source of this 1120-nucleotide non-coding RNA. NCBI's taxonomy places the organism in Eukaryota, Metazoa, Chordata, Actinopteri, Cyprinodontiformes, Nothobranchiidae. The record is from RefSeq and is a predicted model, not a curated record.
AAAAACCCACUUUUCUUUGUGUUUUGAACAAAAUAUAUUUCUGUAAAUGAAACAGAAACACUUUUAAAAUUGAGAAGAGAUGAAAUUGAUUUGUGCAGAAGGAGUGAUAAGUGGAGGUCGACUGGAUGCAAACGUCUUCAUGAGGGCAUUUCGACAGAAAAAUAAUCGUUGCAGGUUGCAGAGGCCUUCGAGGGUUCCGCCUUUUAAAAUAAGGCGGGUAACGCACCUGAACGCACCUUUGUGCGCGAGAUGAUGUGGGUUUACGCACAAACACAUACAAGGGUAAAAUCCACCCAAAUCAGAGUGAAGGUCAAACACGUUCACGCGCACUUUCUUCUCCUUUGGUGUGUUUUUAUUUUUUAAUCCUGAAGUUCAGGCAGUCAGAGGGCCGGAGAGCCCCACAUACCACCACCUCCUGCUCACGGGCUCCGUUAAAUUAUGCAAAAAGGCCAUUCAACAAAUAUGGCCUCGCAGCACAAAAGAAGCGCGCUAUUCUGACAUUUCCAAGCAUUUCUUGUUUUUUACCCCGUCCUUCUCUCGAUGUGAGACCUCCAGAUAAACCCCUGAACAAGUAUCAAGUUAUCAAGUUGCACCAAGCUUUUGUAAUAAGAGCAUUUUGUCUAAUCCAAAAUUGCUGUUGAAUUUUCCUUAAUGCUGAGCUGCUAAAGCCUGGGAUUAGGCGGCGAGGAGAGGAGGGGGAAAAGUUUUGUCCCUUCAGCCGGCAGGAUUGGAAGCGCGGAGAUCUGCGGGGAUGUUGUCGGCGCUUAUUAAAGGCAUGAUGCAGAAACCUCAGAGCUGCUGGAGCCUCCGCGCGCUCAGAGCUUCGCUCCUCAGGUGCGCAGCGCUCUGGACGGCGGCCGACUGGGAGAGAGGCCGAGCAGCACCUGUGAGGGGAGGCCAUGAGACAUCAAAGCCCGGGAGAUAAUCCAUUCCUCUGGGGGAGCCGAACCGGACGGGACCGAACCUCCGCUUUUUACGCACGCAACGCUCACCGAAAAAAAGGAUUUCUGAUAUUUUAUUUGUAAUAUUUUUUCUGCUUCAUCUGGAACAUUACUGAUGCUGCAGAGGAAGCAUUUGGAGGCUGUUAGUGAGGAGAAGGGAUGGACAUGUACAGCAAGGU